AUAGCGUAUAUUAAAGUUGUUGCAGUUAAAAAGCUCGUAGUUGAACUUCAGACCUGGCUGGACGGUCUGCCUAACGGUAUGUACUGUCUGGCUGGGCCUUACCUCUUGGUGAGCCGGCAUGCCCUUCAUUGGGUGUGUUGGGGAACCAGGACUUUUACCUUGAGAAAAUUAGAGUGUUCAAAGCAGGCUUAUGCUCGAAUACAUUAGCAUGGAAUAAUAAAAUAGGACGUGCGGUUCUAUUUUGUUGGUUUCUAGAGUCGCCGUAAUGAUUAAUAGGGACAGUCGGGGGCAUCAGUAUUCAAUUGUCAGAGGUGAAAUUCUUGGAUUUAUUGAAGACUAACUACUG
RNAcentral lists this ribosomal RNA (346 nucleotides) under uncultured eukaryote. RNAcentral describes it as "SSU rRNA". It matches the Rfam family "Eukaryotic small subunit ribosomal RNA", at positions 594 to 945 of the family's 1831-position model. The record is from RNAcentral.